CCUGGCUCAGGAUGAACGCUGACAGAAUGCUUAACACAUGCAAGUCUACUUGAACUUCGGUUUGGGUGGCGGACGGGUGAGUAACGCGUAAAGAACUUGCCUCACAGUUAGGGACAACAUUUGGAAACGAAUGCUAAUACCUGAUAUUAUGAUUUUAGGGCAUCCUAAGAUUAUGAAAGCUAUAUGUGCUGUGAGAGAGCUUUGCGUCCCAUUAGCUAGUUGGAGAGGUAACGGCUCACCAAGGCGAUGAUGGGUAGCCGGCCUGAGAGGGUGAACGGCCACAAGGGGACUGAGACACGGCCCUUACUCCUACGG
This 315-nucleotide ribosomal RNA is filed under the name uncultured bacterium. RNAcentral describes it as "bacterial SSU rRNA". It matches the Rfam family "Bacterial small subunit ribosomal RNA", at positions 18 to 344 of the family's 1533-position model. The record is from RNAcentral.